UACGGAGGGGGCGAGCGUUAUUCGGAAUUAUUGGGCGUAAAGGGCGCGUAGGCGGCUUGAUAAGUCAAAGGUGAAAUCCCUCGGCUCAACUGAGGAACUGCCUUUGAAACUGUCUGGCUUGAGGCCGGGAGGGGGUAGCGGAAUUCCCAGUGUAGCGGUGAAAUGCGUAGAUACUGGGAGGAACACCGGUGGCGAAGGCGGCUACCUGGACCGGUUCUGACGCUGAUGCGCGAAAGCGUGGGUAGCAAACAGG
This 253-nucleotide ribosomal RNA is filed under the name uncultured bacterium. RNAcentral's name for it is "partial 16S ribosomal RNA". It matches the Rfam family "Bacterial small subunit ribosomal RNA", at positions 524 to 776 of the family's 1533-position model. The record is from RNAcentral.